GGGAGUGUAGCUCAGUGGCAGAGCAUUCGACUGCGGAUCGAGAGGUCGGUGGUUCAAAUCCGCCCGCUCCUU
This 72-nucleotide transfer RNA is filed under the name Paramuricea clavata. It matches the Rfam family "tRNA". Rfam says of the family: Transfer RNA (tRNA) molecules are approximately 80 nucleotides in length. Their secondary structure includes four short double-helical elements and three loops (D, anti-codon, and T loops). Further hydrogen bonds mediate the characteristic L-shaped molecular structure. tRNAs have two regions of fundamental functional importance: the anti-codon, which is responsible for specific mRNA codon recognition, and the 3' end, to which the tRNAs corresponding amino acid is attached (by aminoacyl-tRNA synthetases). tRNAs cope with the degeneracy of the genetic code in two manners: having more than one tRNA (with a specific anti-codon) for a particular amino acid; and 'wobble' base-pairing, i.e. permitting non-standard base-pairing at the 3rd anti-codon position. Lineage: Eukaryota; Metazoa; Cnidaria; Anthozoa; Malacalcyonacea; Plexauridae. The record is from Rfam by way of RNAcentral.